Regulatory RNA element from Firmicutes bacterium CAG:170, 95 nucleotides. It matches the Rfam family "SAM riboswitch aptamer (S box leader)". From Rfam's summary of the family: The SAM riboswitch is found upstream of a number of genes which code for proteins involved in methionine or cysteine biosynthesis in Gram-positive bacteria. The SAM riboswitch acts at the level of transcription termination control. The record is from Rfam. NCBI's taxonomy places the organism in Bacteria, Bacillati, Bacillota.
GCCUUAUCAAGAGCGACUGAGGGAACGGCCCUAUGAAGUCCGGCAACCUGCAUCUGCAAGGUGCCAAAUCCGGCGAAGUGAUCGAAAGAUGAGGA